GAUGAAGAACGCAGCGAAAUGCGAUAAGUAAUGUGAAUUGCAGAAUUCAGUGAAUCAUCGAAUCUUUGAACGCACCUUGCGCUCCUUGGUAUUCCGAGGGGCAUGCCUGUUUGAGUGUCAUUUCAACCAUCAAGCCCUGCUUGUGUUGGGGUCCUGCGGCUGCCCGCAGGCCCUGAAAACCAGUGGCGGGCUCGCUAGUCACACCGAGCGCAGUAGCACAUCUCGCUCAGGGCGUGCGGCGGGUUCUUGCCGUAAAACACCCCCUUUUUACCAAGGUUGACCUCGGAUCAGGUAGGAAUACCCGCUGAACUUAAGCAUAUCAAUAAGCGGAGGA
RNAcentral lists this unclassified non-coding RNA (334 nucleotides) under soil metagenome. RNAcentral describes it as "partial contains 5.8S ribosomal RNA, internal transcribed spacer 2, and large subunit ribosomal RNA". The stretch from base 1 to 120 matches the Rfam family "5.8S ribosomal RNA", at positions 35 to 154 of the family's 154-position model. The record is from RNAcentral.